UGAGCAAUCUGCCCUUCACAUCGGAAUAACCAUUGGAAACGAUGGCUAAUACCGAAUAUGACUUCGGAUCGCAUGGUCUGAAGUGGAAAGCUCCGGCGGUGAAGGAUGAGCUCGCGGCCUAUCAGCUUGUUGGUGAGGUAAUAGCUCACCAAGGCGAUGGACGGGUAGCCGGCCUGAGGAGGGUCGACCGGCCACACGUGGGACUGAGACACGGCCCAGACCUCCG
Molecule: ribosomal RNA, 226 nt
Filed under: uncultured bacterium
Lineage: Bacteria
Description: partial 16S ribosomal RNA
Rfam family: Bacterial small subunit ribosomal RNA
Source: RNAcentral